This 497-nucleotide ribosomal RNA is filed under the name uncultured bacterium. RNAcentral's name for it is "partial 16S ribosomal RNA". It matches the Rfam family "Bacterial small subunit ribosomal RNA", at positions 28 to 507 of the family's 1533-position model. The record is from RNAcentral.
GAUGAACGCUGGCGGCGUGCCUAAUACAUGCAAGUCGAGCGAACAGACGAGGAGCUUGCUCCUCUGACGUUAGCGGCGGACGGGUGAGUAACACGUGGAUAACCUACCUAUAAGACUGGGAUAACUUCGGGAAACCGGAGCUAAUACCGGAUAAUAUAUUGAACCGCAUGGUUCAAUAGUGAAAGACGGUUUUGCUGUCACUUAUAGAUGGAUCCGCGCCGCAUUAGCUAGUUGGUAAGGUAACGGCUUACCAAGGCGACGAUGCGUAGCCGACCUGAGAGGGUGAUCGGCCACACUGGAACUGAGACACGGUCCAGACUCCCACGGGAGGCAGCAGUAGGGAAUCUUCCGCAAUGGGCGAAAGCCUGACGGAGCAACGCCGCGUGAGUGAUGAAGGUCUUCGGAUCGUAAAACUCUGUUAUUAGGGAAGAACAAAUGUGUAAGUAACUAUGCACGUCUUGACGGUACCUAAUCAGAAAGCCACGGCUAACUACGUG